Molecule: long non-coding RNA, 10497 nt
Filed under: Triticum aestivum (bread wheat)
Lineage: Eukaryota; Viridiplantae; Streptophyta; Magnoliopsida; Poales; Poaceae
Description: long non-coding RNA (TAES_LNC015441)
Source: RNAcentral
UUUUUUUUGGUCUGCGUGCGAUUUUGAACCCGGCUACGGUGGAUUUCAUCCGUUCCCUUUCGGUAUCUCCUUGUGUACUUUGAUUCCUGGCUCUUGUACUUUCCUCGAUCCCUUUCGGGGGAGCUCGAUUCUUCAACUUCUUUUUUUUUCAUUUUUUUUAACUUUUUUAUGUGACAUGAUUGACGGGACUGGGGAGGGCUUGCAAGAAACGAACAAAUGCAGGAGGAUCAGAGCAGGUGGCCCCAAAUUUCGCGGGAAUGUGUUUACUUUCUUCUUCCCGGCCGGCUCCUCUGUUCUUCAGUUUGGGAGGAGCCCUGUUACACAAACCCUCGUGCAUGCUGAACUUGUCCUGUAGCUUAAUCAAUUGCAUUACCACACUAGUUAAACCUUGUUGGAACAGAAACCUAUGUUAGGACUUACGGCAUGGAUGAUUGGCUGUUUUCAUAAGCUAUUGCGACCUCAUCGCUGGCCGGACACUGGAGUUCACAAUACAGAUUAAGCUUCCUUUGAUUUCUGAAAGAGGCUUGUGGAAUACAGGCACUAGGUGUUAUUCUAGUAUUGACUGUUGCUCAUGGUAUAUGCUGCAUAUUGCAAGAUUGUAUAGUAUUAUCCACACAAAUCUUAUUAAAUCACAUGACUUACACAGUAUCAAACUUGUUAAACCUUGUUGGAACAGAAGCCAAUGUAAUGAUGGGGUGAUUAGCUGUAUACGUAAGUGAUUACAACCACAUUGAUGCUCGCUAUAGUAUGGAAUACAGAUUAUUGAGUUCAUCAAGUUCGUGCUAUGCUUAGAUUUAGUACGGCAAGAGGCUUGUAUGGAAUGUAUGACUGAACAUGUACCCAGCUUCUCUUUUUGUAUCUUGUUUCCUGUGUUAGGCGUCAUUCUAGUAUAUUGCUCAUGUAUAUGCAACUACAUCUUUAGCUUUCUGUAAUAUUUAUUAGAAGCAGUUCUUAAUAUAACUUGAUGAACACACCUUCCCUUUCUUUAUUUCUCUCAAGGUUGUUGGGCUUUUCACGUCCCUUCGCAAUGGACUAUACAUCGGAUGGAGACUCAGAGCUUGAAGCUUAUGGUUCUGACACUUAUGCACUUCUGCUAUCAGGAGAUAUAAAAGUGAUGCAUGAUGGGAGUUCAUACAAGUGCCCCUUUUGUUCGGUUGGAAAUGGUGACUAUAACAUACAUGAAUUACUGCAGCAUGCCUUGAGUGUGGGGGCUGCCCAUGACCAGGAAGCAAAACAGAAGGUAGACCAUCGAGCCCUUGCCAAGCAUUUGAAGGAUGAACCAGCUAAAUCACAUAGUCCACUGCUGAGGCCAAUUAUUAUGGAUCCACAGCCUCCUCAACAUAAAAGGGAUGAGCUGUUUGUCUGGCCCUGGAUGGGUAUCAUAGUCAAUAUGCCUUCUGAAUAUGUUGGAAAAAGUGCAAACCGGCUGAAGGAGCAUUUCUCCUGUUUUCAUCCAGUUAAAGCACAUCAUGUGUACAGUAAAGGUUUUCCUACAGGUAAUGCUAUUGUUGAGUUUGGCAAGGACUUUGGUGGGUUUAGGAAUGCACGAAUAUUUGAGAAUCAGUUUGAGAAGAAUGGGUAUGGGAAAAUGGGCUGGCAGGAAAAAGAGCGCAGAGGGUCAGAGCCUUUUGGAUGGAUCGCUAGGGCAGAUGAUUACAAUGCUCCAGGGGCAAUAGGGGACUUUCUAAAGAAAAAUGGCGAUCUGAAGACGGUUGACGGCGUUGAGAAUGAAGAAAAAAAUAAAAAUGAGAAACUUGUGGCCAGUUUAUCUUCUAAGGUUAUUGAAAAGAAUAUGCAUUUAGAAGCACUUGAAUGUGAGUAUCAGGAGAGAACUGUGUCAUUGCAAAGGAUGAUGGAACAGAGGGAACAUCAGCUCCAGUCAUACAGCCAAGGUGCUUGCUAACCUUCUUGUAAUUUAUAUGUGAUAUAUUAUCAAUGUCAAGUAACUAUAUGCAUCAGCUGAUUUCUACCCUCUUGUUGAUCAUGCCGGUGUUUAAGCAUUACAAAAAGGCUGAUGUAUGUUUUGAAUUUCAUCUGUCUUAGAACUCCAAAAGAUGCGACAGUGCUCUGUCGAACAUACACAAAAGAUUGUUGACGAGAACAAGAAGCUGCGCUUUGAUCUUCAGUCUAUGACGCAUGAGCUUGAUGCAAGGUCCAAAGAACUUGAUGAGUUGGCUGCACAGACUGAUUGCGAUAGAAGGAAGCUUGAACUGGAGAAGCAAAGGGUGAGGCAUCUUGUCUUCGUAUGAUAUUUUUCAAUCAACAAGCCCAUAUAGCGACUUGUAAGUUACUGUAGUGUGUAGCUUCUUCUGUUCAUGUACUUCUUACAGCUGUCGGUUACUAUCGGAUCUUCAACUGGCAUUCCAUAAAAAAAACUAGUUUAGUAUAUUCUUUGUUGACUUAAAGAAAAACUGGCAUUGGGCGUCACCUUUUGUUCUAGAUAUCAUGGAGCAGAACUUUUGGUGUUCGGAUUGUUAUACAGAACUAGCAUGCUGUCCACACAAAUGCACGUGCAACUUCUUUAAUGUGUAUAUUUUUUCUGAAAGAGUAAUAUCCUUUCGUGGAAAAUCAAUAUACUAGAUGGAAAUAAAACAACCUUGUAAAAAUUAUUCGUGAACUUAAUUAACCAUGCACCGCUUAGAUUCUUAUGCAAGAUCGGACGGCCACCACGUGUGGAGCCCCGUUCCCUUGGUUCUACCAAACUUUUCUUGGAUGUUCUGUCCAUGGUGAGAUAUGAAAUUGUUAUACCCAACUCGGUGGUGUCAUUAGUUCCCUGAGAACUCGAUGCUCCGUGACUUGUUGAAAUUUUUGUUUCAAUAUUGUGCCAUUUUGGUUGCAAGAUUGAGCCUGUACAAAAUGAAAAUUUAAGGAAGUCAUAAACUUCAAAAAGACACUUAAUUUGUAUGAGUGGCUAAGAUGACUAUAUGGCAUGGUCAAAAUCGGUGCAGAACAUGAUUAGAUGUCAAAGUGAACAAACAAGAGAAACUAGGUGGCAAUUGUACAGGGAAGACUAUUUCUGUUUGAUUGAUAUUAUUACUGGAGGGGUGUCUCCAGGAAUUUGGGGCCCGGGGCGAACUUCAAAUUGCAGCUCCAAUUCUUUUUUAAAUAGUAUAACUAAUGGACUAUCUUGAAAAAGUCUCAUACCUACCCAAGAAAUACAUCAUGCUAAAGCAGCCAAAUAUUUGCUGGAAUACACAAUAUGAGUAGAACUGAAAAUCUGUGUUGAACGAUCAGACAAAAUAGAUAAAAUAUGACAAAAAAUAAUACGGGGAUACAAAAGGGUACCUGAUCAACAGGUUGCUUCGUCCGUGCAUCCUAUAUGUGUAGACACUCCUGUUGCGGACAUCGAUGGAAAAUAUCAUCAUCUUGUUUUUCUACAACAUGAAAUCAAAUUGAAAUAAAAAUGGAGGAAAAUUGAGUUUAAUGGUAAAUGAUUUGUUUUCACUUCAAUUUCAGUUCAACGUUUAAGUGCAUCAAUUUAUAAAUCAACACAUACAACAUCAAUUUGGAAAUCAACACAUACAACAUGUCAGUUCAAAUGCAUCUGGUAUUGUUAAUUAUAUGUCUGUCUUGGUCCAAGAAAUUACGCAGACGUUUGCUCUUGGCUUCCGAGGUGCAUCCAAUCAUGGGUGAGGGGGAGGCAGGGUAAGGCGCCCAUCAGCAGCAGUACAGGGGCUGGGCGGGUCGGCCAUACGCUGGGGAGCACUUGCGGGAACGACAUGAUGGCACCAGCAAUGGAGCAGCUAGCAGGCCGAGCUGGAUUAGAGGAUAGCAGCGGCCGGCAGCAGAUUGCAUUAGACCGUCAGCAGGAUUAGAGGCGGCGCUAGCAAGCGGGAGGACUGGGGUGGGGGUUGGGGACUAGGGGAGAGCUGCGGCCCUAGGGCUUGCGGCAGUCUUGUGCAGAGAUUGAGGGGGCGAUCGCAUCAAACUCAGGCGGCUCGCACACACGCACCUGCGCGGCAGUUUCUCCCCCGAUCGGUGGCCCCAUGAUUUUGGGGGCCCUAUGCGGUCGGCCACCUUGGCCGCCCUCAUCGACGGGCCUGAGGCAACUGCAUGAAUGGGAUGGGUGUCACUCGGAGCAGCAUUGUUAUGACUGGCAUAUUAGGGGCUUAGCCCAGUGGGUUGUGGCCCAAGUUAUCUUAUCGUUAUUAGGGGCUUAGCCCAAUUAUCUUAUCGUUAUUAGGAUCAUUUGCUUAGGAGUCAAGUAAACCUCUCUAUAUAAGGAGAGGAGAUGUAUCAAUCUAAUCAAGCAAGAAGCAAUCAGUAUUUGCUCGGCUUCCCUUAGGGAGCCGGGAGACCUAACCCUUGCCGCCUCUUGUGCCGCCGUCGCCUCUUCUCCACCACGCAAGGACGGCGCCCAGCCGCCGGCCGCCGCGCCCUCGACCUCGUCUUCCUCCAUCGUUCCCCUACAAUCUCCGCCCUAGAACCGGCAGAACCCUAGCUCCUACCAAUUUGGUAUCAGGUAGCUCGGUUCCGAUCAUGUCUGCACCACCACCCAACCCGCCGUUGCCCGUCACCAUCGCGCCGCUGCCUCUCUCCACCGCGCCGCUGCCUCUCCCCACCGCGCCGCUGGACUCCACCGCUAGCGCCUCCACCAGCCAGACGCCGCCGCCCUCCACCGCGCCGCCCGUCGCCAUCUACUCGCCGGCGGAGAUGACCGGGGUCCUCAACGACCUCGUCGCCUCUACCUGGCCGGACCCUACGGGCAGCCCCCGCCCUUGCAACCGGCCGCAGCGACCGGGCCAGCCGCCCUGCCCUGGUACGCGGCCACCACGGCGCCGAUCGGGCCUCUACACCACCAUUGGCCCGGUCAGUCGCCGUACGCGGCCACCACGGCGCCGAUCGGGCCUCUACAUCACGAUUGGCCCGGUCAGUCACCGCCCGCUGUCUCCCUCCACUGGCCGCAGUGGCCGGCUCCGGCGAUCGCCGCGCCCCCGACGCCUCCCGGGUUCGGGCAGCCGCAGCCCCAGCUGCCGGCCCCACCGCCGUUCGCUGCCGGCCCCACCGCCGUUCGCUGCCGGCCCCACCGCCGUCCGCUGCCGCGCCUCAAUGGCCACAGUGGCCGGCCCCGGCCCUUGCUGCGCCCCCCACGCCACCCGGGUCCGUGCCGCCGCAGCCGCAGCUGCCGGGCCCGUCACCGCCCAACACGGGGCCCGGGUCACCCUCGCAGGGAGGCAUGCCUAUCCAGCAAGUGUGCUUCCCGCCGUCGCCAUCCCCAAUACCGGCCUGGCUGACCGGAUCAUCGCCGCCACCCGUCUACACGUCGGCUGGAGACUCGUCGGCACCCACUCUGCAGUUCGGCGAUCCCUCCGGCUCGGCGGGGCACUCCACGGGCGGCGGCCGUACUGACCGGGCGCCCCAAUCCUCGCUGCUUCACACCUCCGAGCCAGUCGGCCACGGCGCUCCGACUCAGACAGCGCCGCGGUUUGCCAAACUGGACUUCGCCACCUAUGACGGCACGGAGGACCCCCUCAACUGGCUCAACCAGUGCGAGCAGUUCUUUCGCGGGCAACGCACCCUCGCCUCGGAGCAUACCUGGCUCGCCUCUUACCACCUCCGCGGAGCGGCCCAGACCUGGUACUACGCCCUCGAGCAGGACGAGGGCAGCAUGCCCCCUUGGGAGCGCUUCCGCGAGCUCUGCCUCCUUCGUUUUGGGCCACCGAUCCGUGGGAGCCGCCUGGCAGAGCUAGGCCGCCUUCCCUUCACCUCCACGGUUCAGGACUUCGCCGACCGUUUCCAGGCCCUGGCAUGCCACGCGUCGGGCGUGACGGCGCAGCAGCGGGCCGACCUCUUCGUCGGUGGACUUCUGGAUCACAUCCGCGUGACGUGAAGCUUCGGGGACCCCAGGAUCUCCAGAUGGCCAUGUACUACGCCUGCGUGUUCGAACGCCGCGCGGCGGCCAUCCAGCGGGCAUCACCGUCCCGGGCUGCUGGGCUGCUACCCGGCCGGAUGUUCCCGCGCAGGGUCGGCCUGUUUAGGCUUCCGCGGCACCCCUCGCUUCGACCGCGGCCCGCCCGUUCCACCGGCUCACCUCGGCCGAGCUACUCGAGCAUCGCCGCCAAGGGUUGUGCUUUAACUGCGACGAGCCCUACACGCCCGGCCACGUCUGCCCGCGACUCUUCUACCUGGAGGCUGCAGACUACAUUGAGGAGGACGCCGUCGCCGCCGACCUGGCCGCCCCAGCUGUCGCGAAGGUGUUUGACGUUGGUUGAUCACCUUGAGGAGUUCAGCAAGCGCUUCCCCACCUUACAGCUCGAGGACGAGCUGUUUGUGCAGGCGGGGAGAAGUGUUAUGACUGGCAUAUUAGGGGCUUAGCCCAGUGGGUUGUGGCCCAAGUUAUCUUAUCGUUAUUAGGGGCUUAGCCCAAUUAUCUUAUCGUUAUUAGGAUCGUUUGCUUAGGAGUCAAGUAAACCUCUCUAUAUAAGGAGAGGAGAUGUAUCAAUCUAAUCAAGCAAGAAGCAAUCAGUAUUUGCUCGGCUUUCCUUAGGGAGCCGGGAGACCUAACCCUUGCCGCCUCUUGCGCCGCCGCCGCCGCCUCUUCUCCACCACGCAAGGACGGCACCCAGCCGCCGGCCGCCGUGCCCUCGACCUCGUCUUCCUCCAUCUUUCCCCUACAAUCUCCGCCCUAGAACCGGCAGAACCCUAGCUCCUAACAAGCAUAGUGGUUGCCUGGUUGGAUCGUUGCUCAGGAGCCCAGGUUAAUUUUGCUAUGUGCCAAUGUUCGGGUCCUAUAUGGCAUGCCUCAUCUUGUUUAGUCGUUCAUUCUUUGUUAAAUUUAUAGAUUUUGCCUAUUACCAUACAUACACCAGGUGCAAUUUUCAUUUUUAUCGUCUGAGUUUAAGUAACUACAUAUACUUCAUAAUGCAAUCAUUUUAUUUUCAGUUAGUAACGAGAAUAUGUGGUGUGUUAGUCUUGUUUGUAGUGGCAUACUUGGCCUUUGUUCAAUAAGGUCAUGUCUUUUUUUAUUAGCGUCAUACUUUUAUAUUCUUUUACUUAAAUAUCCAUGUAACACUCAAAUAUGACAUGAUAUGUAACUCAAAUAAGCAGAAGCAGGUUUAGGCUUAAGUCACUAAUUGGUUUAGUUUUCAAUACAUGUAGUUGUUUUUCUUUUCUACUUAGAGGUAGCAGGGCUUGAUGGGUCAAGUCAAGUGGAGUCCCAUAUUAUGAGAUUCAAGGAUUAUGAUUUAACGAUAAUGUAGAUUAUUGAACUGAUUUUUGCUUUUGUUGUGUUAUUUUCUAGUCGUCCUCUCUUUUUCCUGGUUGACCCAUCAUGUUCUUUUAGUAUAUAAUUGAUGUAACUGAAUCUACCAUCUGAGGAUGGAAGCAUAAUAAUGUAACUAAAUCACUUUCAUUAAAAUGUCAUUUAAGUUGUGUUUUGUUCUUGUACAGAAUGCGACAAAGUCCAAUCAUCUUAUGCUGGCAGAAAUGGAGUAUCAGAAAGCUAAUGAGAAUGUUCGCAAGCUUCUCGAACAACAACAGGUUAGUCCCUGCUGUGCGAAUACAUUUUCAAGCUGUUUUGUUUUUGAUGACACAAGUUUUAAAGAUGUCUAUCCUGUGUAUAAACUGCAGAAAGAGAAAGAAACUGCUUUAAACAAUGCUAAGAAGUUGGAGGAACAGUUUCAUGUGAAGCACAAUCUUCAACUAGAAAUAAAGCACCUGACAGGAAAAUUGGAAGUGAUAAAGCUCACACCAGGCAAUGAAACUUCAGAAACAGGGAAAAGAAUAGCUGAACUGACAGAGGAGCUGCAAGAUAAGAUCGAUGAGAUGGAAUAUACAGAAAACUACAACCAAGGUCUGAUCUUGCAAGAAAAAAAGGCUGCUGUUGAGUUGCAAGAAGCUCGGAAAUUUGUGUUAGAUGUAUGCUGCUUCUAAUGCUCUACUGUGUAAUUUGAGUGAGUGCACUAGUUGGUUUUUGUAUUCAUGUUUUGUUCGAUUGCAGGCUCUACAGGACUUGGGCGGUCAGACCAGUGACAAAGCACACAUAGGCAUCAGGAUGAUGGGUGAGCUUGACUCAAAGGCAUUUUUAAAUGUGUGCAGGAAAUAUUUUCCAAACGAUGAUGCGGAAGUUGGAAGUGUUGAGAUUUGUUCAAAGUGGCAGAACGAAAUUAAAAAUCCAGAAUGGCGUCCUUUUAAUGGAAAGGAAUUGGUAAGAAAUCCUUCUCUGUUUGUUACCUUACCACAACCAUCCAUUGAAUCAAAGACGAGGCCUGAUGUUGGGCAAAGGCAGGGGCCCAGGGGCUUCGGUUUGUUCUGCCCACAUCCUGGGACGUCCAUUGAUNNNNNNNNNNNNNNNNNNNNNNNNNNNNNNNNNNNNNNNNNNNNNNNNNNNNNNNNNNNNNNNNNNNNNNNNNNNNNNNNNNNNNNNNNNNNNNNNNNNNNNNNNNNNNNNNNNNNNNNNNNNNNNNNNNNNNNNNNNNNNNNNNNNNNNNNNNNNNNNNNNNNNNNNNNNNNNNNNNNNNNNNNNNNNNNNNNNNNNNNNNNNNNNNNNNNNNNNNNNNNNNNNNNNNNNNNNNNNNNNNNNNNNNNNNNNNNNNNNNNNNNNNNNNNNNNNNNNNNNNNNNNNNNNNNNNNNNNNNNNNNNNNNNNNNNNNNNNNNNNNNNNNNNNNNNNNNNNNNNNNNNNNNNNNNNNNNNNNUCAUUACUCAAGGAGGCUUCUCAGCGAGAGCCAGGUUUACAACAAAGUCCAUCCCGGCAGUAAGCCAGACUACUGUGCGCGGAGUGCUACGGCCAUAGGCGGCCAGCUCAUGACUAAUCCUGUUCUGCAGACGGCUACAAAGAGUAAAAGAGAUCUCCCUAGCAUGACACUUUAACGCUCACCUCCUAGGAGGACUGUUCUAUCUUUUCAAUGAAAUGAAACGCAAAGGUCCUUUGCGUUUUCUCGAAAAAAAGGAGGAUCCCAAUCCGCUUAGCAAUCCUUGUAGGGAUGCAGGCAGACACGUCUGUGAUUGUCCGCAUUUAUGGUUUUUGUAUUAGCUUUGUUUUAAAAGCAGCAGUUAUUAGCUUCUUUUCGCUUUCGUGGACAGUCGCGGACAGCAUGGAUGCGCCCGCUUGCAUCCCUAAAUCCUUGUCAUUGCAUAUUUAGACUUUGUGCAAAUGACAAGUGCAACACCAUUUUUUUUUGUUGCACCUUCAAUUAUAUCACCUGGUUGGUACUUCUGAAUUUCUAAGCUUUCUCCAUCUUGCAUAUAAAUAUUUAUUAGGAUCGCUGAUGCUGCACCUGGUGCAUAUUCUUGUGUAGGAAGUGAUCAAUGAGGAUGACAUGAAGCUCAAGGAGCUGAAAGAGGUGUACGGCGAGGAAGCAUAUGCUGCGGUGGUGACAGCGCUGAUGGAGCUGAAUGGCAGCGGCAGCAGCAGCGGCAGCAGGGUUCCUUUCCCGGAGCUAUGGAACCAGAGGGAGGGGAGGAAAGCAAAAUCCAAGGAAGCAGUCCAGCAUGCCAUCAAGCUGUUCAAGGCGAGCAAGAGACGGCGUUGAGCUGCUCAACGCUACGGUUUUCUCUAGAACCGACCCUAACUAAGCAGGACACCUUUCUAUGUUUGCUCAUAUAUUAAGUAGAGGGAAAUGGUGGUGGAGCGACCUGUGCUUUUUGCAGUUAUUACGUGGCUGGUAGCAGUUGUUCGUUGUCCAUGGCUGGGCUGGCUGCUUGACUUGUCGUGUGUGUGUGUGAUGAAACCCUCCAGCGUCUGAGACUCUUAGUGUUCUAAUAUGGGAUGACACUUAACUGGUUAAGUGUUAGCUAUAUUUGGCUAUGUGAAGGAUUAUGUUGUCAACUUCUUCCUAGGGGGAGAACUUUCGAUCUAUUUAUCAUUUGUCAUGGCAGUAACAAGAACAUCACAAGUAGUCCGUAGGUAAUCUAGCGAUGACUAUAAGCAUUGGAGCGGGUUGAAGGCGUGUCGCUGUUAUCACACCUCUUUUACUGGAUCCAGGCAAACUUUGUUGUUGGAUUAGCACACUAAAAGAGAAGUUUAGAUCGGAAGGGUUCAACCUGACACCACAUGUACGGAGAUGAAUGACGAUGGGAUCCCAAUAGAUCCAUUGAAGAUCAUUACCAGCCAGAUUUUUUUACCUCAAUUGCAUUAUAAAUGAUGAGACGACAAAUUAUACAAUUGAUUGAUGAAAGUAAUUACCACAACUAGUAGCUCCUUCAAUUGCAUAUUCGUAAAGACAUAGUAGGAUCGAUUAUUGCCGAGACAGAGCGGCAUGCAGACAGAGGAGCCACACAUGAACACGUAAGGGUACUACGCUUAAUAUAGUGCGCGCACACACGACACGACGCAACCGAAACAACUUAUUCAUCGUCUCUCACCAGAGAUCGAUCUCAUCUCACCAGUUCUCUCUCGUACAUAGUGCCCAGCCACCCAAGCGCGGAGGGGACAGACACGUUGACUCAAACGCAUAAAACGCGUGUCUAUUUGGGUCGUCCGGUUGGAGUUGCUCUCUUAGAGUGACUUGGGGGCGAUGCGGCCGAGGCGGACGGCGUUGACGUAGUCGCGCGGGCU